GGUUUUUCAAUCUGAGGAAACUCUUUAAUCCUGGAGAAUUUCCUACCGUCGUGUCUUUGGAUACAGCGUCUCUCUCAUUUCUUUUCCUUCCUUCUCGCUCUUUCUUCCACACCCUCUAAUGUCUCAUGCAUGGUCCCCAUCUUGGGUCUCUCUCUGUGGCAUCCUAAGUUUUCCAGAUAAAACGUCCACUCACCAAUUCCCUCUUCAGUUGAUCUGUCUGCAGUUUAGCUAGUCACUCCCAUCUCAGUCUCUCUCUGCCUCUCCACACUCUCUCCACCAGCCUCUUACUUGCCUUUUCUCCUCAGCUCCUCCAGAGAAGCUGGGCUUUCUGCCCUGAGGCCUUUGUAUGUGCUGUUAGCUCUGCCUGGCAGAUCGCUGUCACCCAGCCUCCUUCUGGCUGCUGCUUCCUGUUCAUUCCUUGUUCUCAGCGACCUUACCCUGAGCCUCUGGGAAACUAGCUGGAUGAGAUGCUUCCUACUUCACUUGUUCAAGUCCCCUCUGAUUUCAUUUAGGUGACACUCCUCUGCCAUUCAUGGGCAUUUUUUCUCAAAAUUUUAUUUUCCUCUUGGUGGGAAAUUCCUGAAGGGCUACGCCUACCCCGUCUUCCCAGCACCUGGCUCAGAGAUGCGCACCUAGCAGCCUCUUCAAAGGAGGAUGACAUUUAUGGAUACAAGACUGAAAUCAGCCAACAGAGUCCGGCUGAAGGGUCACAUGCAGCUCCAUGAUGUCACCUGUGUCAUCUCCCUCGAGCCAAUAUCCUGACCUUUCCCAUCCAGGAGGCAUGGUGUGGAAUGUGGUGGAGAGCACCAUGGCUACCUUGCCAGGCCUGGCAUCGCGUGGUGAUGCACAUCACAGCUCCUCUGUGAGGCCUCCACGACCAGGCUGUCUGGAGGCAAGGCUCCUGAGCGCCAGAGUCAUGACCUACACAAGUCCACCCUCCACGCUGAGACCUCUGAGCUGCUGGCAGUGUGAGCACCGCAGAGUCACCCACCAUAAAGCACCACCGCGGGCUCCUGGGGAGGCCAGCGUGCUCAUCCACUGGGUCACUGGGCAGUAUGUUUUCCUUCCUGGGACUGGAAGGAAGCAGCACUUGAUUCUAGAGAGAAGCAAAAUAUGACUUUUAUGGAAAUGUGUUUAAGAUCUAACAAGUCAGGCACCAUGUGAGACUGUGAUCUGUAUUAACUCCUUUACUG
Long non-coding RNA from Bos taurus (domestic cattle), 1193 nucleotides. The record is from Ensembl. Lineage: Eukaryota; Metazoa; Chordata; Mammalia; Artiodactyla; Bovidae.